Molecule: transfer RNA, 68 nt
Filed under: Atrocalopteryx melli
Lineage: Eukaryota; Metazoa; Arthropoda; Insecta; Odonata; Calopterygidae
Description: tRNA-Gln
Source: RNAcentral
UACUUUUUGGUGUAAGAUGCACAGAAAUUUUUGAAAUUUCUAGGGCAGUUUAAUUCUGCAGUUAGUAA